GAGAAAGUCAUAAAGGUUAUGGGGUUGACUUGAAAUUAAUCUGAGGGGGUUCAAUUCCUCUCUUUCUUA
This 69-nucleotide transfer RNA is filed under the name Monodelphis domestica (gray short-tailed opossum). It matches the Rfam family "tRNA". Rfam says of the family: Transfer RNA (tRNA) molecules are approximately 80 nucleotides in length. Their secondary structure includes four short double-helical elements and three loops (D, anti-codon, and T loops). Further hydrogen bonds mediate the characteristic L-shaped molecular structure. tRNAs have two regions of fundamental functional importance: the anti-codon, which is responsible for specific mRNA codon recognition, and the 3' end, to which the tRNAs corresponding amino acid is attached (by aminoacyl-tRNA synthetases). tRNAs cope with the degeneracy of the genetic code in two manners: having more than one tRNA (with a specific anti-codon) for a particular amino acid; and 'wobble' base-pairing, i.e. permitting non-standard base-pairing at the 3rd anti-codon position. The record is from Rfam by way of RNAcentral. Lineage: Eukaryota; Metazoa; Chordata; Mammalia; Didelphimorphia; Didelphidae.